Molecule: ribosomal RNA, 694 nt
Filed under: uncultured bacterium
Lineage: Bacteria
Description: bacterial SSU rRNA
Rfam family: Bacterial small subunit ribosomal RNA
Source: RNAcentral
AACGCUAGCUACAGGCUUAACACAUGCAGGUCGAGGGGCAGCAUGGUCUUAGCUUGCUAAGGCCGAUGGCGACCGGCGCACGGGUGAGUAACACGUAUCCAACCUGCCGUCUACUCUUGGACAGCCUUCUGAAAGGAAGAUUAAUACAAGAUGGCAUCAUGAGUUCACAUGUUCACAUGAUUAAAGGUAUUCCGGUAGACGAUGAGGAUGCGUUCCAUUAGAUAGUAGGCGGGGUAACGGCCCACCUAGUCUUCGAUGGAUAGGGGUUCUGAGAGGAAGGUCCCCCACAUUGGAACUGAGACACGGUCCAAACUCCUACGGGAGGCAGCAGUGAGGAAUAUUGGUCAAUGGGCGCAGGCCUGAACCAGCCAAGUAGCGUGAAGGAUGACUGCCCUAUGGGUUGUAAACUUCUUUUAUAAAGGAAUAAAGUCGGGUAUGUAUACCCGUUUGCAUGUACUUUAUGAAUAAGGAUCGGCUAACUCCGUGCCAGCAGCCGCGGUAAUACGGAGGAUCCGAGCGUUAUCCGGAUUUAUUGGGUUUAAAGGGAGCGUAGAUGGAUGUUUAAGUCAGUUGUGAAAGUUUGCGGCUCAACCGUAAAAUUGCAGUUGAUACUGGAUAUCUUGAGUGCAGUUGAGGCAGGCGGAAUUCGUGGUGUAGCGGUGAAAUGCUUAGAUAUCACGAAGAACUCCGAUUG